Molecule: ribosomal RNA, 428 nt
Filed under: uncultured bacterium
Lineage: Bacteria
Description: partial 16S ribosomal RNA
Rfam family: Bacterial small subunit ribosomal RNA
Source: RNAcentral
GUGGGGAAUAUUGGGCAAUGGGCGAAAGCCUGACCCAGCAACGCCGCGUGAAGGAAGAAGGUUUUCGGAUUGUAAACUUCUGUCCUCAGGGAAGAAGGAAGUGACGGUACCUGAGGAGGAAGCCCCGGCUAACUACGUGCCAGCAGCCGCGGUAAUACGUAGGGGGCGAGCGUUGUCCGGAAUGACUGGGCGUAAAGGGCGCGUAGACGGCUGUCUAAGUCUGGAGUGAAAGUCCUGUUUUCAAGGCGGGAAUUGCUUUGGAGACUGGAUGGCUGGAGUGCGGAAGAGGUAAGUGGAAUUCCCAGUGUAGCGGUGAAAUGCGUAGAGAUUGGGAGGAACACCAGUGGCGAAGGCGACUUACUGGGCCGUAACUGACGUUGAAGCGCGAAAGCGUGGGGAGCGAACAGGAUUAGAAACCCGUGUAGUCC